GACGAACGCUGGCGGCGUGCCUAAUACAUGCAAGUCGAACGCUUCUUUCCUCCCGAGUGCUUGCACUCAAUUGGAAAGAGGAGUGGCGGACGGGUGAGUAACACGUGGGUAACCUACCCAUCAGAGGGGGAUAACACUUGGAAACAGGUGCUAAUACCGCAUAACAGUUUAUGCCGCAUGGCAUAAGGGUGAAAGGCGCUUUCGGGUGUCGCUGAUGGAUGGACCCGCGGUGCAUUAGCUAGUUGGUGAGGUAACGGCUCACCAAGGCCACGAUGCAUAGCCGACCUGAGAGGGUGAUCGGCCACACUGGGACUGAGACACGGCCCAGACUCCUACGGGAGGCAGCAGUAGGGAAUCUUCGGCAAUGGACGAAAGUCUGACCGAGCAACGCCGCGUGAGUGAAGAAGGUUUUCGGAUCGUAAAACUCUGUUGUUAGAGAAGAACAAGGACGUUAGUAACUGAACGUCACCUGACGGUAUCUAACCAGAAAGCCACGGCUAACUACGUG
This 508-nucleotide ribosomal RNA is filed under the name uncultured bacterium. Its description in RNAcentral is "partial 16S ribosomal RNA". It matches the Rfam family "Bacterial small subunit ribosomal RNA", at positions 28 to 507 of the family's 1533-position model. The record is from RNAcentral.